Molecule: transfer RNA, 68 nt
Filed under: Tarentola chazaliae (helmethead gecko)
Lineage: Eukaryota; Metazoa; Chordata; Lepidosauria; Squamata; Phyllodactylidae
Description: tRNA-Ala
Rfam family: tRNA
About the family: Transfer RNA (tRNA) molecules are approximately 80 nucleotides in length. Their secondary structure includes four short double-helical elements and three loops (D, anti-codon, and T loops).
Source: RNAcentral
GAGGUCUUAGCUUAAUAAAAGCGUCUGGGUUGCAUUCAGGAGAUGCAUAUUAGAGUUUUGCAGGCCUU